GGCGCGUUCGUCUAGUGGCCUAGGACACUGGAUUCUCAUUCCAGUAAUCAGGGGUUCGAAUCCCCUACGCGCUA
This 74-nucleotide transfer RNA is filed under the name bacterium. Its description in RNAcentral is "tRNA-Glu". It matches the Rfam family "tRNA". From Rfam's summary of the family: Transfer RNA (tRNA) molecules are approximately 80 nucleotides in length. Their secondary structure includes four short double-helical elements and three loops (D, anti-codon, and T loops). The record is from RNAcentral.